This 254-nucleotide ribosomal RNA is filed under the name uncultured bacterium. RNAcentral describes it as "partial 16S ribosomal RNA". It matches the Rfam family "Bacterial small subunit ribosomal RNA", at positions 524 to 777 of the family's 1533-position model. The record is from RNAcentral.
UACGGAGGGGGCUAGCGUUGUUCGGAAUUACUGGGCGUAAAGCGUACGUAGGCGGCUUUGUAAGUUAGAGGUGAAAGCCCGGGGCUCAACUCCGGAAUUGCCUUUAAGACUGCAUCGCUUGAAUCAUGGAGAGGUUAGUGGAAUUCCGAGUGUAGAGGUGAAAUUCGUAGAUAUUCGGAAGAACACCAGUGGCGAAGGCGACUAACUGGACAUGUAUUGACGCUGAGGUACGAAAGCGUGGGGAGCAAACAGGG